RNAcentral lists this ribosomal RNA (492 nucleotides) under uncultured bacterium. RNAcentral describes it as "partial 16S ribosomal RNA". It matches the Rfam family "Bacterial small subunit ribosomal RNA", at positions 29 to 507 of the family's 1533-position model. The record is from RNAcentral.
AGUGAACGCUGGCGGUAGGCCUAACACAUGCAAGUCGAACGGCAGCACAGUAAGAGCUUGCUCUUACGGGUGGCGAGUGGCGGACGGGUGAGGAAUACAUCGGAAUCUACUUUUUCGUGGGGGAUAACGUAGGGAAACUUACGCUAAUACCGCAUACGACCUACGGGUGAAAGCAGGGGAUCUUCGGACCUUGCGCGAUUGAAUGAGCCGAUGUCGGAUUAGCUAGUUGGCUGGGUAAAGGCCCACCAAGGCGACUAUCCGUAGCUGGUCUGAGAGGAUGAUCAGCCACACGGGAACUGAGAGACGGCCCAGACUCCGACGGGAGGCAGCAGUGGGGAAUAUUGGACGAAGGGCGCAAGCCUGAUCCAGCCAUACCGCGUGGGUGAAGAAGGACUUCGGGUUGUAAAGCCCUUUUGUUGGGAAAGAAAAGCAGCAGGUUAAUACCCCGCUGUUCUGACGGUACCCAAAGAAUAAGCACCGGCUAACUUCGUG